RNAcentral lists this long non-coding RNA (762 nucleotides) under Nicotiana benthamiana. Its description in RNAcentral is "long non-coding RNA (NBEN_LNC023752)". The record is from RNAcentral. Lineage: Eukaryota; Viridiplantae; Streptophyta; Magnoliopsida; Solanales; Solanaceae.
AAAAUUACUUUUCUUAGAAUGGGAAGAGUAUAUGGUAACUGUGAUCAAAUUUGAGUCAAUAAAACAUCCGCAUCUUUGGAAUUUUACUUAAAUCUCUUCCCGCACCUACGGUUAGACCACAGAAUCUGAGAGCUCGCAAGUGUGACUCAUCUUCCGCUUCUGCGAGCCAGGAACAACAUUUGCAAUCUCUUUCCCCUUUUGCGAUCUUCGCACCCACGAUUCCCAAUUCGAUAGCAGUCAUAUGUCUUAUGUUGAUUUCUCAAAAUUUUUGUCGGUAUAUCUAUGAAAAUUGUUAUUUUUAUAACCUAAUAAUAUUAAAAGAUUAUCCAUUUAUACUUUCAAUAAAUUGUAUAUUUAUAUUAGAAAGUAUUUUAUUAAUGAUAAUCACAGCAAAGAAUAAGCAAAGGUGAGACUUAAAAACAUACUUAAAAUAAUAAUCAUGAAAAUAACAGUAGAUCUUUUUACAAGCAUAAAAGAAUUAUACCAUUUAUAAUAUUAGUGAACUAAAAUUAUAAUAAUAAAAUAAAAUAUAAUUUAACUAUAGGGAAGCCGUCCAAGUAAAAAAAAAUAAAAAAUCAUUCAAAUAGAGGCACCGGAAAUGUCAAUGAUAAAAUGGAUUCGAUGUUGCAUAUGAGGGAAGAAUGUUCUAAAAUAUAAGGAAAAGAUAGAGCACAAAUCAAGCCUCUAAUAUGAAAAGAUUUUGUUCCACAAAUCAAGCCUCUAAUUAAUAGUUGAUCCUUAAACCUUAAAGAUAAGUUUUGG